This 497-nucleotide ribosomal RNA is filed under the name uncultured Actinomycetes bacterium. Its description in RNAcentral is "bacterial SSU rRNA". It matches the Rfam family "Bacterial small subunit ribosomal RNA", at positions 384 to 896 of the family's 1533-position model. The record is from RNAcentral. Lineage: Bacteria; Bacillati; Actinomycetota; Actinomycetes.
UGAUGCAGCAACGCCGCGUGCGGGAAGAAGGCCUAGGGUUGUAAACCGACUUCAGUAGGGAAGAAAAUGACGGUACCUACAGAAGAAGGUGCGGCCAACUACGUGCCAGCAGCCGCGGUGACACGUAGGCACCAAGCGUUAUCCGGAUUUAUUGGGCGUAAAGAGCUCGUAGACGGUUUGGUAAGUCGGGUGUGAAAACUCUGGGCUCAACCCAGAGAGGCCACCCGAUACUGCUAUGACUAGAGUACGGUAGGGGAGCGGGGAAUUCAUGGUGUAGCGGUGAAAUGCGCAGAUAUCAUGAGGAACACCAGCGGCGAAGGCGCCGCUCUGGGCCGUAACUGACGCUGAGGAGCGAAAGCAUGGGUAGCAAACAGGAUUAGAUACCCUGGUAGUCCAUGCCGUAAACGUUGGGCACUAGGUGUGGGUCUCAACCAACGAGAUCCGCGCCGUCGCUAACGCAUUAAGUGCCCCGCCUGGGGAGUACGGUCGCAAGACUA